RNAcentral lists this unclassified non-coding RNA (19 nucleotides) under Chlamydomonas reinhardtii. Its description in RNAcentral is "small RNA Cre_1658". Lineage: Eukaryota; Viridiplantae; Chlorophyta; Chlorophyceae; Chlamydomonadales; Chlamydomonadaceae. The record is from RNAcentral.
GCACCGAUGUCUGGCCCGC